RNAcentral lists this long non-coding RNA (6550 nucleotides) under Homo sapiens (human). RNAcentral's name for it is "HSALNT0158552". Lineage: Eukaryota; Metazoa; Chordata; Mammalia; Primates; Hominidae. The record is from RNAcentral.
CAUUUCACCAUGUUGGCCAGGCUGGUCUUAAACUCCUGGCCUCAAGUGAUCCUCCCUCCUUGGCUUCCCAAAGUGCUGGAAUUACAUUACAGGUGUGAGCCACGGCGCCCAGCCAGCUACUGCCUUUUUAAAUGCAUGCCACAGAACCCUGUACCCGGAAGUACAUCCUCAUUAGCAAAAUCUCUUGUAAGUAAUCCCAGUGGGUACCUGUAGAGUGAUAUGCAGUUAUGGAAAUUGACACAGAAUUCAGAUAAAUCAUGGUGGCCCUGCUGAGCAGCAGGCAGUGAGCCUAAAAAGUGGGUGAAAUGUCUCUGCCUCUUCUUCCUACCCACUUCGUAUUGGUUUUCAAGAGACUCUCUGACCUGCCACUCUGACAUUUAUACUUUCACAGCAUUAAAGAUAAUCCAUGCAUUUACUUCGCAAUCUCUCGAAUUCCUACCAGAGCUUUCUGUUAAGGGCAUCUAUAUUCAGAAAUAUCAACUGAACAUUGUCUGUUAGGGCAAAGUAGCACAGUGAUUCCAAGUGUACACAAAAUGUUCUGCCUCUCCAGAAGGCAUUAAGAUGACGCCAGGGGAGAGCAAGUGGGCGAUUCAGCUCUAGCUCUGAAUCCACGCCUGGCAGGGUUAAUUUUAUGCAUCAACUUGGCUGGGCCACGGUGCCCAGACAAGACAUCUGGUCACACAUUACUCUGGGUGGUUCUGUGAAGGUGUUGUUGGAUGCGACUAACAUUUAAAUAAGUACACACUGACCAGCAGAUCAUCCUCUUGCUUGUGGGUGGGCCUCAUCAAAUCAGUCGAAGGCCCAAAUAGAUUGAAAGGCUGACCUCCCCAAAGCCCGAGGGGAUUCUCCAGCAGGCAGCCUUCGGACUUCAUCUGCAACACUGGCUCCCCCUGCUUCAGACUCAAACUGCAGCUCUUUCCUAAGUUUCCAGCCUACAGAUCUUCCCCAUCAGAUUUUGGGCUCACUGGUCAUCCACAAUCACAUGUUCCUAAACAUAAAAUUUCUUGCUAUGUAUGUACUGACCCUAUCAGGUCUAUUUCUAUGGAAAACCCUGACUAAAACAAUUCCAAAUUAACCUCUGAAUAAUCCUUGGGAACCAUCUAAGUUCCCAAGACUUUGAACUGAAGGUCGUACUCACCAAGCUUUAACAUGAUUCUAGACUCAGGAGACAAGCUUUGCACAAACCAACCAUUCCCUGAGAGCCAGGCUCAAAAAGGCAGACUCUCCCUAAUGACCGGCAGAACCUAAGGACUCGAGUUGGAGGCACGACCGUUGGUAUGGCUCUGGAAUGUUGGCACAGCCCUGGAGUGAAACCCAAUGGAACCCAGCAUGGCCCUGGGACAUCAGCAUGGCCCCGGAAUGAAUGGAGGCAUGGCUCUAGAACACCUGCAUGGCCCUGUGACAUCAACAUGGCCCUAGAACAUCUGCAUGGCCCAGUGACAUCAACAUGGCCCUAGAACAUCUGCAUGGGCCUAGAACAUCUGCAUGGCCCUGUGACAUCACCAUGGCCCUAGAACAUCUGCAUGGCCCUGUGACAUCAACAUGGCCCUGGAACAUCUGCAUGGCCCUAGAACAUCUGCAUGGCCCUGUGACAUCAACAUGGCCCUAGAACAUCUGCAUGGCCCUAGAACAUCUGCAUGGCCCUGGAAUGGAGGCAUUGCCCUAGAACACCGGCAUGGCCCUAGAACACCUGCAUGGCCCUGGAACAGAGGCAUGGCCCGAGAACAUCUGUAUGGCCAUGGAAGGGAGGCAUGGUUCUAGAACAUCUGCAUGGCCCUAGAACAUCUGCAUGGCCCUGGAAUGGAGGCACGGCUCUAGAACAUCAGCAUGGCCCUGGGACAUCAGCAUGGCGCUAGAACAUCUACUUGGCCCUGGAAUGGAGGCAUGGUGGCUCUGGAAUGAAGGCAUGGCUCUUGAACAUCUGCAUGGCCCUGAGACAUCAGCAUGGCCCUAGAACAUCUGCAUGGCCCUGGAAUGGAGGCAUGGUGGCCCUGGAAUGGAGGCAUGGUGGCCCUGCAAUGGAGGCAUGGCCCUAGAACAUCUGCAUACCCCUGGGACAUCAGCAUGUCCCUAGAACAUCUGCAUGGCCCUAGAAUGGAGGUAUGCCCUGAAAUAUGGAGCCAUGAGAGAAGACUUAAUAAGAAGCAGCAGGGGAGUCAGAGGCUUGGAUAGGAGGCCAGAGCUGCGAGCACAGUGGGAGAAGCUCCCCAGUCCAACAAACUAGAGGACGGUCAGUGGCACGAAGAAGAGUGAACAGGUGGAGGUGGAGGGGGAAUAAAGGGAGGUCAACGAGGCAGGGUCAAGCCUGGAGCAGCCAGACAUCCUGCAGGCCGAGCUGUGCCCGGGGGCCUUGUCUGUGUAAAGCUGCCACGGGGCUUCCCAUACAAGUGAAACCCAAGGAUCAUUCAGGACGUUCAAAGGUCCACCCAGAGCAGGAACGGGGCCAGAUGGGAGCUGAGCCCUCCAUGCACCCGAGGCCGUGAUCAUCUGAGCUGCAUCUGGAGCAGGCCAGGGCCAGGAUCCUUACAAGGGGAGGUGGGGCACCAAGGGAGGGAGAGGCCAGAUGAGUUGGAGGCUCUGACAAUUAUGGAAGUGAAGGAGUUAACACGGAAGCAAAAAUGAGCCACGAGGCCAUGGAAACACACAGCACCAACUCCCCCCUCGAAUUCCACUCAGAAUCAAACACAUGCUUGACUUAAAUUACAUAUGUUGCUGGGUUGAGAAGCAGGAGAAAAUAAAUUCAUUUAUGACUAGCACUAAAAAGGAAAACCUUCUAGUCACUGCUUCAUGCUUACGGUUUUCAUGUAGCGCAGAAAAACCCAAAUAGCAUCUGAUGCAAUUUACAUAACUUUACAUAAUCUCAUGGUUACCAUUCGGCAAAGAACUUCCAGACCACAUCUCUUCCACUUAUUUGCCGCCAAAAAAGACAAAUUGGAAAAUAUUCUGGACAGCAGCUUUCUACCCUACUCUUAAAAAUCACCAAGAAACCAACUCUACAACUUUUCUCAGUGAUAUUCAGUCUGACCAUUUUAAUCUAAAGUCUUAAUGAUAUAAUCUAAUCAAUAAACAAAUAUUUACAGACCUCCUGCUAUUUUCAAAGCAUCGAUUUCAGAACUGGCCAGAAUCCUCUUAGCUUAAAAUCUACUUCAAACUGCCUGAUCUGGGAACAAACACACUUUCUUCAACUAUGAAAUAAGAAUAAUACCAGCCACUUCAAAAGGAUGUUCUGAGGAUUGACAGGAUUAAACGUCGUUACCUGGUACCACAGGAGGUGCACACAAAAGUAUCUUCUAAUUGGAGAGCUAUGACACAAACAGAAUGAAAUUCGUGAUUCAUUCAUUCACUGUUCAAGAUGACCAAAGAGAGUGUGUGGGGCCAGGCACACUGGCUCACGCCUGUAACCCCAGCACUCUGGGAGGCCAAGGUGGAAAGAUCAUUUGAGCUCAGGAAUUCGAGACUAGCCUGGGCAACACAGGAAGACCCCCAUCUCUACGAAAAUACAAAAUUAGCUAGGCAUGGUGGUGCGUGCCUGUAGUUCCAGCUACUCAUGAGGCUGAGGUAGAAGGAUAGCUUGACCCCGGGAGGCAGAGGUUGCAGUGAGCCAAAAUUACGCCACUACAUUCCAGACUGGAAGACAGAAUGAGACCCUGUCUCAAAAAAAUAAAAAUAAAAAAGAGAGUGUGUGGCAUAUUGUGAGUAGUGAAAAACAAAUACAAACACCAAACACGGAUUUCUGGGGGGAAAAAAAAACUAUUCAUUUUUUACUCAUAAACAAAGAGUUAUUUGCCAUUACCUAUAUGAAGGGUUUUGAUUCACAGCAGGACUCUUUUAUGAUGUGAUGUGUAAAUGAUAGAUAUUAAAAUUAAAUACUGUUUACACCAAAAGUUACAAACACAUACAUACCUACUCUCUCUGUCACACACAUCUACAAGCCAAGCCCAUCCUGGUCUACACCAUGAUGAAUGUGUACACAGACUCUCUACUUGAUCAGAUAGAAUUCAAAACCAUGGGAAUUGUUGUAAAAGGUCCAUUCAGUGCCUAUUGAGAAAGGGUUACUUUGUUUCCUACCUGAAUGUUCCCUCUUUCACACACCAUCAUCAAAAAUGGCUUUUUGACAAUACAAUACUAACUCACUUUUUAAAAUAUUUAUUUAAAACUUUUAGAAUAUUUAAACAUUUUUUAAUAAAAUAUCUAACUAUGACUUUUGGUUUAUUUACAGACAUACUUGUCAAAUAAUCCUACCCUUUCUUAUACCAAUGUGUUCUGCUCUCUUAUUACUAAGCUAUCUAAUAUUUAAUGAGUGUCUCUCUGCUUCCCUCAAGCCUGGGUGCCCAGUUAGGAUUCAUUAUGAGUUUUUAGCAUAUAUACUAAAUUUUCUUAUUGAUAAACAAAUGGAACUCCAGUUACAAUGUCAGAUAACCAAAGAAAAUAAUGUGAUUGUUUAAGUUCCCUUAAUAUUACUGAAAUGUCAUUUACAUUAUAAAAUAUAAAUUUUAAAAAGGGUCAGUCUCAUAAAAACACAACCUAAUUCUACUUUUUGGAGUCCACAGUUGAGCCAUGUCACAGCUGGGUAAGUCCUGCUUGUCUAGUCACUUUCCUGUCCCAUGUGCCACCUGCCAGCAUCUUGUCCUCUACAAUCAACUACAGUAAAAAUGGCAAUUCCCAAAAACGUUCCUAAAACCAGGCUUUAAAACUUGGCAGGAGCUGCCCACAUAAACAUAAGGCCAUCUUCACACUUUCUCCUCACACUUCAUGAAUAAACAUUCCUUUAUUCAAAUGAGUUGUAUAUUAACUAACUCCACUAAUUUUGAUUUAACUUUGAAUGGUAAAUUGAGUAAUUCUGCCAAGACUGCAGAGUACGCAAUUCAAAUGACAGAAAUUUUAAUAACGGGGAAAAUAAAAAUUAGCAGCAUGACUCCUAAGGCACUAUAAUUCCAACACUUUUAUGGCAACAGUAGAAAGCACUCAUAAAUACGUCUCCAUUUACAAGCCAAGGGGUGUUAUUUGGAGCCACAUCAUCACACAUACUUACCUGCAAUCUUCCACGAGCAUCUUUUUGGGGGCUCGGCAGGCACCGACUAAAUCUCCAAAGCUCCCCAGCCCCAGACAUUAAGAGGUAAUGUCACUGCUUUUCAAUAAAUAACAAUGAAGUCGUCACUGGAUUAAAUGAUUUCCAUACAUUCUCACCAUAAACAAUAAUUAUUUGGCAGCUGCCCCUUGCAAGCAUUGCAUGCGCUUAUGAAUAAAUCAAGCCUUAUAGAUUUACUAAACCAAAACGUUUUACAUUUUGCUCCACUAAUAAGAGCCAUAAUCCUCCGCGGCACUGGGUGACGCUUUAAUGUCAUAUGUUCCUUAAUACUUUUAAUAUGAAAGAUUAGCCCUGAUUAGCUCACAAGCAGGAACGCUGCUCUGAACGGCCGAUUGGUCACAGAGCCCAGGUCUCUAAAUGCGUCUUUAUUAAUGGAGCUCUGCCUGCUGAUGGGAAUCCCCUAGUGAUGACAUCUCCUGGAGCUGCCGCCAUGCUGUUUCUCCUUCCUUGUACCAUUUCACAGACUAAUGAUGGCUUGCAUUAAUUCACAGCUUACAUUAAUUUAAAAGAGCCAUGCAAGAAAACAUGGGACUGCACAGGGUCCUAAGUGCUCUGUAAAACUAUCAUCUAAGAUAAUAAAACCACUUUCUUUCAAUGCAGUGACUCCAGUUACUAGAAAACUACUUUGGACAAUCCCAAAGUGUCCUCGAAGAUCUGGAGCUCUGCAACCUCCAUCUGACAAGGAAAGGCAUUCUCUCCCUUCCCCCAUGAAACAAGGGCAAAAUUCCCAAACAUUCCCAGGCUGUUAUCCACAACCAACUGACUUGACUCAGCUUCCGCUGAUUACUCAGCUAAGGGCUAAAAACUCUCAGUUCUCUGGUUCCAAUGGGGAACUGGGGUCUACAAUUCUUUAUGGGGGAAAAUUCUACCCAGGCAUACACCGUAACUUGCUGACCUAAUGACAGUGUCUCACAAUCUGUUAAACUGUCAUCACCUCCAACAGUAAUUCACAAACUUGAUGUCUGUGCUUUGGACAGAUUCCUGGGCUAGACGUCCAUGGAUCUUAACUCCAAACUAAACUCCAUUCCUCGUGCAUUAUAUAGGAAAACUAGCACCCAAACCCUCCUUCCUUUCUUCCUUCACAAGGGUCACAAACCUAGACAUUUCAGACUAGAAAGCUCUUUAGAGAUUCUAUACCACAACCCCCUUGAUAUGGUUUGGCAGUGUCCCCUCCCAAAUCUCAUCUUGAUUUGUAGCUCCCAUAAUUCCCCACAUGUUGUGGGAGGGACCCAGUGGGUGGUAACAGAAUCAUGGGGCGGGUUUUUCCCACGCUAUUCUCAGGAUAGUAAGUCUCAAGAGAUCUGAUGGUUUUAUAAAGGGAAAUUCCCCUGCACAGGCUCUCUUGCCUGCCACCAUGUAAGACGUGCCUUUGCUCCUCAUUUCUAAUUUGCCUUCUACCAUGACUGUGAGGCCUCCCCAGCCAUGUGGAACUGUGACUCCAUUAAACCUCCUCUUUUUUUU